UAGUCACAAAUGUUCCUUCAGCCUGUUAAUUAUUUCAGUCCGAUUUGAUUUAUCUGAAGAAGUCAGCAUGGCUUAACAUUGUUGCUGGAUAGAUACUUCCAUAGCUAACAUGCUGGCGCUGCUAGCUAGCUAAUGCUAAACUAACCUCAUAUCUGGAUGCCUCAUUCUAGUUCCUGAGAGAGCAGCUUACUGGCAAGUCAACUUUGCUUUAAAACUUUGCAAUCGUCUGUUAAGUCGUUUAACAUGCAAUCAUACAAGCUAGAUAGAUAGAUAUUUUGUUUAAAAGCCUGCUGUCAUUCCCACACCUGAAGCCCCCUGUCCCCAGCAGGAAAGACCACGAAAAAGGGUUGGCUAAGGUACAACUUCCUAUUGAGGAAAUGGAAGACAACUCAAUGUCAUAUUUAGAUUUAGUUACUGACAUGAAUAGAAGCAUGUACAAGCAAUCUAUCAAAUGUAUUUUAUGAAGCCCUUUUUACAUCAGUAGUUCAUAUAGAUACCCUGCCUAAAACCCCCAAAGAGCAAACAAUGCAGACGUAGAAGCACAGUGGCUAGGAAAAACUCCCUAGAAAGGCAGGAACCUAGGAAGAAACCUAGAGGAGCCAGGCUCUGGCCAGUCCUCUUUUGGCUGUGCUGGUGGAGAGUACAGCCAUUUAGCCAGAUUAUUCUAAGAGUAUUCAUAGAUGACAAGCAGUGUCAAAUAAUAGAGGGUUACAGAGGGUGCAAUAGUUCAGCACCUCAGGAGCAAAUGCCAGUUGGCUCUUCAUAGUUGAGCAUUUAGCAGUUGAGACUAGAGGUCAACCGAUUAAUCGGAAUGACCAAUUAAUUAGGGCCGAUUUCAAGUUUUCAUAACAAUCGGUAAUCGGCAUUUUUGGAUACCGAUCACGGCCGAUUACAUUGCACUCCACGAGGAGACUGCGUGGCAGGCUGCCUACCUGUUUUUCAAGUGCAGCAAGGAGCCAAGAUCUACCAACCUGCUCGGUGGGUGACAGGUAACCGUCUUUCCACCAAGCUGUUCCAAGCUGUUCUACCAAGCUGUUCCAGGAGCUUCCAGAGGCUUGUAGACCUGAAGCAGUGUGAUGUGGUCCAGAUCUGACGCCCCUAUUAGCUCAACCACAGGCUUCACAGCCGCAGUUGUCUGCAUCUGCUACACUGGGCACGACAGGUGAUACAGGAAUACGUCUUUCCCGAAGUGGAUCCUUUGUUCGGACCAGCUGGCUGGUUGGUGUGUUUACGGACUACUUCAAUCAAUCCCUAUCCCAGUCUGUUGUCCCCACAUGCUUCAAGAUGGCCACCAUUGUUCCUGUUCCCAAGAAAUUUAAGGUCCACUGACGAUGCAAUCGCCAUCACACUGCACACUGCCCUAUCCCAUCUGGACAAGAGGAAUACCUAUAUCUGCCAUGCACUCCACCACUGCCUGACAGCCUCACCCAGAAGUGCGUACUCUGGGCCUAUCAAGACUGACAAAGCAGAGAUGGGUGGCUGACGAGGAAAAAUAAAACAACAUGCGCUCACACACAUUAUCCACAAUGUAAAUAACUUGUAAUUACUUGUUUAUUUAAUGUUUGCUCCAUUUUAUUUUACGAUUGGAGAUAUCUAUUCCUUCAUAUCCAUUGUCAAUAUCUACAUAAUUACUCUAAAUAUCUAUCAAAUCCAAGUGUGAUUGAUAAUAUUGUAAAAGACAAUGGCUUAAUGUGUACAGUUCGAGGUAAUUCUGUGUACUUUUUUCUGAGUUGAAAUUACAAGUCUCCCUCACACACAUAUUAGACCCAAUGUAAAUCAAUUGUAAUAACUUGAUUAUUUUAUGUAUGCUCCAUUUUAUUUGAGGAAAAUGUCUGCAAUAAAGUACAUUCACAGUUGA
Salvelinus fontinalis (brook trout) is the source of this 1858-nucleotide long non-coding RNA. RefSeq lists it as uncharacterized. The record is from RefSeq and is a predicted model, not a curated record. The transcript is spliced from 6 exons. Lineage: Eukaryota; Metazoa; Chordata; Actinopteri; Salmoniformes; Salmonidae.